This 203-nucleotide long non-coding RNA is filed under the name Ananas comosus (pineapple). RNAcentral's name for it is "long non-coding RNA (ACOM_LNC002734)". The record is from RNAcentral. Lineage: Eukaryota; Viridiplantae; Streptophyta; Magnoliopsida; Poales; Bromeliaceae.
CCUCUACUCCCACCAUAAUUUAGAACCAAAACCCACCCUUCUAUCCUCUAUAAAUACCUAUCAGAAUCCUCAAGGCAAAUCCCAUGCCAAAUCAACAACCUUCCCUUCUUCUUCUUCUUCUUCUUCUUCUUCUUCUUCUUCUUACUUGUUAUCAUCUCAAAAUUUACCUCAACAAAUUCAACUCAAAAAUCAGUCUCAAUAUU